RNAcentral lists this ribosomal RNA (583 nucleotides) under ascomycete sp. ODP61003fw0. Its description in RNAcentral is "SSU rRNA". It matches the Rfam family "Eukaryotic small subunit ribosomal RNA", at positions 194 to 782 of the family's 1831-position model. The record is from RNAcentral. Lineage: Eukaryota; Fungi; Ascomycota.
GGAAGGGGUGUAUUUAUUAGAUAAAAAACCAAUGCCCUUCGGGGCUCUUUGGUGAUUCAUGAUAACUUUACGGAUCGCAUAGCCUUGCGCUGGCGACGGUUCAUUCAAAUUUCUGCCCUAUCAACUUUCGAUGGUAAGGUAUUGGCUUACCAUGGUUUCAACGGGUAACGGGGAAUUAGGGUUCGAUUCCGGAGAGGGAGCCUGAGAAACGGCUACCACAUCCAAGGAAGGCAGCAGGCGCGCAAAUUACCCAAUCCCGACACGGGGAGGUAGUGACAAUAAAUACUGAUACAGGGCUCUUUUGGGUCUUGUAAUUGGAAUGAGUACAAUUUAAACCUCUUAACGAGGAACAAUUGGAGGGCAAGUCUGGUGCCAGCAGCCGCGGUAAUUCCAGCUCCAAUAGCGUAUAUUAAAGUUGUUGCAGUUAAAAAGCUCGUAGUUGAAACUUGGGCCUGGCUGGCGGGUCCGCCUCACCGCGUGCACUCGUCCGGCCGGGCCUUCCUUCUGAAGAACCUCAUGCCCUUCACUGGGCGUGUUGGGGAAUCAGGACUUUUACUUUGAAAAAAUUAGAGUGUUCAAAGCA